RNAcentral lists this transfer RNA (91 nucleotides) under Pacificimonas sp. RNAcentral's name for it is "tRNA-Ser". It matches the Rfam family "tRNA". Rfam says of the family: Transfer RNA (tRNA) molecules are approximately 80 nucleotides in length. Their secondary structure includes four short double-helical elements and three loops (D, anti-codon, and T loops). Lineage: Bacteria; Pseudomonadati; Pseudomonadota; Alphaproteobacteria; Sphingomonadales; Sphingosinicellaceae. RNAcentral also lists the same sequence under 2 other names. The record is from RNAcentral.
GGAGCGGUGGCCGAGUGGUCGAAGGCGCACGCCUGGAAAGUGUGUAAAGGGUAACCCCCUUUCGUGGGUUCGAAUCCCACCCGCUCCGCCA